AACUAAGACACCAGUCCAUAAGUAAGGCAAGAUAGUAAGAUAAUAGCCCAUUAUCGUUAUGAUGGUAACGAGGAAUAUUAGGAAAUGAGCCAUAGCACCUCGAUAAACGAUAGAGGGACCACACCAAAGCUAUUGAUUGAGUGUGUGUGCUUACAAUGGUGUGUUACUAAGCUCUCUGGUCCA
Molecule: long non-coding RNA, 183 nt
Organism: Octopus sinensis (East Asian common octopus)
Lineage: Eukaryota; Metazoa; Mollusca; Cephalopoda; Octopoda; Octopodidae
Exons: 3
Source: RefSeq, a predicted model, not a curated record